AAAUGCCUGCGGUGUUCGUGAUACAAAUAUAAUUUUUUUAUUGAAUAUUUUAUCUGAAGGGACCUUAAGGAUUUUUCUGUUUAUAAGUACCUUUUAAAUAAGGAAUUAUCUAAUAGAAGUGAAGGGACCCACUUUGAAAAAAGGGAUAGAAAAAACUGAGUACACGGCACAGGCGGGUUAUUU
This 183-nucleotide non-coding RNA is filed under the name Spirochaetota bacterium. RNAcentral's name for it is "6S RNA". It matches the Rfam family "6S / SsrS RNA". From Rfam's summary of the family: E. coli 6S RNA was the first non coding RNA to be sequenced, but its function was unknown until recently. It consists of 184 nucleotides that fold into an extended hairpin structure with a large single-stranded internal bulge. Lineage: Bacteria; Pseudomonadati; Spirochaetota. The record is from RNAcentral.